This 439-nucleotide ribosomal RNA is filed under the name uncultured bacterium. Its description in RNAcentral is "partial 16S ribosomal RNA". It matches the Rfam family "Bacterial small subunit ribosomal RNA", at positions 339 to 795 of the family's 1533-position model. The record is from RNAcentral.
CUACGGGUUGCACCAGUGAGGAAUAUUGCACAAUGGGGGGAACCCUGAUGCAGCAACGCCGCGUGGAGGAUGACGCAGUUCGGGGUGUAAACUCCUUUUAUAUGUCAAGAAAAUGACGGUAGCAUAUGAAUAAGCACCGGCUAACUCCGUGCCAGCAGCCGCGGUAAUACGGAGGGUGCAAGCGUUACUCGGAAUCACUGGGCGUAAAGGACGCGUAGGCGGGUUGGAAAGUCAGGUGUGAAAUCCUACAGCUUAACUGUAGAACUGCACUUGAAACUUCUAAUCUAGAGUAUGGGAGGGGGAGAUGGAAUUAGUGGUGUAGGGGUAAAAUCCGUAGAUAUCACUAGGAAUACCUAAAGCGAAGGCGAUCUCCUGGAACAUUACUGACGCUAAGGCGUGAAAGCGUGGGGAGCAAACAGGAUUAGAUACCCCGGUAGUC